GAGCGAUUAGCUCAGCUGGUAGAGCGCUACAUUGACAUUGUAGAGGUCACAAGUUCAAGUCUUGUAUCGCUCA
This 73-nucleotide transfer RNA is filed under the name Candidatus Kaiserbacteria bacterium. Its description in RNAcentral is "tRNA-Val". It matches the Rfam family "tRNA". Rfam says of the family: Transfer RNA (tRNA) molecules are approximately 80 nucleotides in length. The record is from RNAcentral. RNAcentral also lists the same sequence under 2 other names. Lineage: Bacteria; Candidatus Kaiseribacteriota.